AGAUCGAAGUGGCAUUCAGGCCAAUUUUCCGAUGUUCAGAUCGAAGAAGGUUCCGACGUUCAGGUCGAUGCGACUUGUGGCAUUCAGGCCCAUUUUCCGAUGUUCAGAUCGAAAUCCUUUCCAGUAUUCAGACUGAUGAGCGGCAUUCAAGCCAUGGUUAUUUCUGUGUUACCAUUUAUUUUGGUAUCCAGUUUAACAUUCUUUUUCGAUAUUCAAACUGACUCUCACCGUACCAGACGAAUUCUUCUUUCAAGACCACCUCUUUGCUGAUUCUGACAGACAUUGUUACUUCACUUCACUUCAGUGCAAAUUUUU
This 315-nucleotide long non-coding RNA is filed under the name Lathyrus oleraceus (garden pea). Its description in RNAcentral is "Pisum sativum (pea) long non-coding RNA (PSAT_LNC032934)". The record is from RNAcentral. Lineage: Eukaryota; Viridiplantae; Streptophyta; Magnoliopsida; Fabales; Fabaceae.